UGUGGUAUUGAGAAUUAAAUUUUCUUGUAAAAUUUAAUUUUCGUCCCAAAU
This 51-nucleotide microRNA precursor is filed under the name Ciona intestinalis (vase tunicate). RNAcentral describes it as "microRNA cin-mir-5607 precursor". Lineage: Eukaryota; Metazoa; Chordata; Ascidiacea; Phlebobranchia; Cionidae. The record is from miRBase by way of RNAcentral.